Callithrix jacchus (white-tufted-ear marmoset) is the source of this 2408-nucleotide long non-coding RNA. NCBI's taxonomy places the organism in Eukaryota, Metazoa, Chordata, Mammalia, Primates, Cebidae. The record is from Ensembl.
GGGAGAGGGAGAUGGGGUCAGGAGAAAGAGCAUGUACAAAGCUUGGAGGUGGAGAGAGCAAGAGCUGAUGAGGGAUUGGAGUUCCUUUGGAAAGGAAGAGAUUAAGCAAUGCAGAGAAAAGCCCACAGUGAGCGCUAGAAACCCAAAUAAGAGGAGGAAAAGCCGCCAGAAAGCCUCAAGAGAGGAGGCUGAGACAAGACGGACAGGAAGAAACAAGGAACCAGAGAGAGACAGAGACAGCGGCCAAAGGACAGAGAGAGAAGGAGAAAGAUCAAGAUGAAGACGGAGACUUGAAGGCCGACGAGAAGAAAGCAGGACAGCAGCAAGAGUGAGGGGACGCUGCGGGCGGGCAGGCGGGAGGGGGCGCCCAGGACUCUGAAAGCCGGGAAGGCGCGGGUGGUGGCAGCGGCUGAGGCUGGAAAAGCUCAUUUUGCUGGUAAUUUACUCUCCUGCUUUUGGGCCGCUCCGCCUGCCGCUGCCGCCCGCCCGGGCUGCCUGUUCCAAUAUUAGAUAUAAACAAGUAAACUGUGUAAUGGAUCACAUUAAGCAGGCCUUGCGUCUUGAGGCAGGAUUUAAUUUGCAUGGCAGAUUAGCUUGUCUUCCCAGCAAGGCACCCCGGGGCACCCCGAGCUGUAAUAGGAUCCCGCCUCUUAGAGCCCAUUAAGGCAAUUGAGAGAGCCUCCUAAUCUCCCUCCCUGCCCUGCACCAGAAUCCCCUCCUGCCGCACCCAGGAGGGACUUGUGAUAGCGGGACCCCCAUCUUCUGACCCUGUGUGGUGUCCCCAUCUCAGAUCCCACUUUGCCCUUAAAGCAGGAACCCCAAACCCCAUGGGUUACCCCAUUUCAACCUCCUGCCUCAGCAUCCAACGUCAGAGAACUUUCCCUCUGAGCAGGCUGACUCUGUUUCAGAGGACCCAACUGCCCUGAAUCCACUUUCCCCGUUCCUCCAAGUGUCCCCAGGCCCAUGAUCUGACCCCCACUUUCUCCAUUCUCUGCCUGGCUCCCCCAGGCCCCCCAGCAUCAGUGGGCUUCCUAGCUGAGGUCAGGGGUGAGAAUGUCUUCCAUCCGUUUCUCCAGUUUCUCAUUAACAGCCGUACAAGAUCAUUGUCGGGGUGGGAAUCAGAGCAAGACUCAGAACCUGCGUGGAGAUCAAUGUUCAAGUUACUAUUUGGUUUCAAAGUGGGGCUGAAGUGAGUGAUUAUAACAACCCUUUUUGUGGGGCGCUUUAAAGUUUAUGUGUUAUAUCUAUCUAUUAGGUCGUUAAUCCCAACCCUCAGAGGAACUCUUUUUAAAUCAGCCCCAGUGGGCCAGGCAUGGUGGCUCAUACCUAUAAUCCUAGCACUUUGGGAGGCCAAGACAGGAGGAUCACUUGAGACCAGGAGCUCAAGACCAGCCUGAGCAACAUAGGAAGACCCCAUCUCUACCAAAAAUACAAAAAUUAGCUGGGUAUAAUAGCACACUGCCUACCUACUCCAGAGGCUGAGGUGGGAGGAUCACUUGAAUCCAGGAGGUCAAAGCUGCAGUGAGUCACGAUCACUCCACUGCACUCCAGGCUGGGCAACAGUGCAAGACCCUGUCUAAAACACCCAAGGAAUUAAAAAAUAAAUCAGUUCCGUUGAAAAGAUGAGGAAACAGGCUCAGAGAGAAGAAAUGAUUUGCCCAAGGUCAAACAAUUGGUAAGGGGCAGCUCCAGGACUCCACCCAGGUCUGCCUGGCCCCACGUGCAGAAGUCUUUCUGAUAUUGGGGUCAGCACUGGGCUCCAGAGAGGAUCCAUCCCAGGAUCCAUAUCAGGAUCGAGCUGAUCAUGGAUAUCCGUCCCCUGCCCCACCACUGGACCAGGGUGAGUGAAGCCCACACUAGGGCUUUGUCUACCCGCUUAUUUAACGGGAGGUACUCCUACAGUGGAGCUACUGAACACUUAUGAAGGGGACCAAAUAACCAAAGGCCAGUGGCACUAGAAACCAGGGAGAUUGGGGUAGGAGUAGAGAAAGACCUGCAGUCUGUGGGAGCGUCCCCCAGCCCGAUCCCCUCAGCACUGGCAAGCCCCUGAGCUGAAUUGGCUGGGCUAGGGAUGGGGCCUGUGGAGCCUACAGGGAGACAGGGCCUGGGUGGGUGGGUAUGGAUGGGGCCAGGCUGGUGGAAAAGGGUCAGUUCAGUCCUUCUUAGCUCACAAAGGGUCCUUGUUGUGGGUAAUGGGACUCCCCUGGCAGCUUUAUUUGCUGUCAGUGGCUUUUAUUAAAGUCUCCAGUUUCAGACCCUCCAACCUCCAGCCAUUGUAUGCACUCCCCCUGGGCCCUGCCCCCAUCCCCUGGCUAGAUGACUCUGAAGGGCCCCCUGCUCCAUCUCCUGGGCCCCAGCCACCAGCCUCUCACCUUCACCUCCCAGAGAGAGGGCAGAGAGGCUAUGCA